CGGACGGGUGAGUAACGCGUGGAUAACCUGCCUCAUACAGGGGGAUAACAGUUAGAAAUGACUGCUAAUACCGCAUAAGCGCACAGGACCGCAUGGUCCGGUGUGAAAAACUCCGGUGGUAUGGGAUGGAUCCGCGUCUGAUUAGCUGGUUGGUGAGGUAACGGCCCACCAAGGCGACGAUCAGUAGCCGACCUGAGAGGGUGGCCGGCCACAUUGGGACUGAGACACGGCCCAAACUCCUACGGAAGGCAGCAG
RNAcentral lists this ribosomal RNA (255 nucleotides) under uncultured bacterium. Its description in RNAcentral is "partial 16S ribosomal RNA". It matches the Rfam family "Bacterial small subunit ribosomal RNA", at positions 99 to 354 of the family's 1533-position model. The record is from RNAcentral.